Molecule: long non-coding RNA, 1765 nt
Organism: Clupea harengus (Atlantic herring)
Lineage: Eukaryota; Metazoa; Chordata; Actinopteri; Clupeiformes; Clupeidae
Source: Ensembl
GAAAAAAAAGUAGAGUAUGGAAGGUGUCUCCUAAUAUAUAACAGUUGAAUGGAGAGGGACAGAGAGAAGAGGAGCCUUGGAACCUUGGCGCAGGUGUCAGUGAAGCACAGGUGUCAGUGAAGCACAGGUGCAAGCCAGUUUAAUGACCCUAUUAUGAUGUCAUAAUGGCCCAAUGUAAGUCAAUGGGAAAAUUUGUAUUAGUUUUUCUUUAAUAUCUUAAAAAGUAUAAAGUUUAGAAAAGUGAAAAAUACAUAGCAUAAGUGUCCUUUACAAGACCUACGCGCCAAAGUUUGAACGAAGUUUUUAAGUUAAGCGGUUCAAGCUGAAUUAAGCGCAGAAGUUCGGUAAAGAGAAUAAUAAGAAGAAGAAGAAGAAGAACUAGAAAAUGCAUUUCCUGAAGGAAAUACCAGUGCAUGAAAUGCAAAAGUUAAGAAAGGAAGAAGAAAAGAAAGAAGAGUGAAAUAAGGAAAGAAGAAAGGAAAGAAGAGUAAAAGAAGGAAAGAAGAAAGGAAAGAAGAGUGAAGAAAGGAAAGAAGAGUGGAAGAAGAAAAGAAAGAAGGAAAGAAGAAAGGAAAGUAGAGUAAAAGAAGGAAAGAAGAGUGAAGAAAGAAAAGAAGAGUAGAAGAAGGAAAGAAGAGUGGAAGAAGGAAAGAAUAAAGGAAAGAAUAGUGAAGAAAGGAAAGAAGAAAAGAAAGAAGAGUGAAAGAAGGAAAGAAGAAAGGAAAGAAGAGUGAAGAAAGGAAAGAAGAGUGGAAGAAGAAAAGAAAGAAGGAAAGAAGAAAGGAAAGUAGAGUAAAAGAAGGAAAGAAGAGUGAAGAAAGAAAAGAAGAGUAGAAGAAGGAAAGAAGAGUGGAAGAAGGAAAGAAGAAAGGAAAGGAGAGUGGAAGAAGGAAAGAAGAAGGGAAGAAGGAAAGAAGAAAAGAAAGAAGAGUGAAGAAAGGAAAGAAGAAGGAAAGAGGAAAAAAAGAAAAGUAUAAGAAGGAAAGAAGAAAGGAAAGAAGAGUGGAAGAAGUAAAGAAGAAGGAAAGAAGAAAAGAAAGAAGAGUGAAGAAAGAAAAGAAGAGUGGAAGAAGGAAAGAAGAAAAAAAAGAAAAGUGAAAGAAGGAAAGAAGAGUGAAAGAAGGAAAAAAGAGUGGAAGAAGGAAAGAAAGAAGAGUGAAAGAAGGAAAGAAGAGUGGAAGAAGGAAAGAAGAAAAGAAAGAAGAGAGAAAGAAGGAAAGAAGAGUGGAAGAAGGAAAGAAGAAAGGAAAGAAGAGUGGAAGAAGGAAAGAAGAGUGGAAGAAGAGUGAAGAAAGAAAAGAAGAGUAGAAGAAGGAAAGAAGACUGGAAGAAGGAAAGAAGAGUGAAGAAAGAAAAGAAGAGUAGAAGAAGGAAAGAAGAGUGGAAGAAGGAAAGAAGAAAGGAAAGAAGAGUGAAGAAAGGAAAGAAGAAAAGAAAGAUGAAGGAAAGAAGAGUGAAGAAAGAAAAGAAGAGUAGAAGAAGGAAAGAAGAGUGGAAGAAGGAAAGAAGAGUGAAGAAAGAAAAGAAGAGUAGAAGAAGGAAAGAAGAGUGGAAGAAGGAAAGAAGAAAGGAAAGGAGAGUGGAAGAAGGAAAGAAUAAUAUUCCUAGUUAUACAGUUGAAUGGAGAGGGACAGAGAGAAGAGGAGCCUUGGAACCUUGGCGCAGGUGUCAGUGAAGCACAGGUGCAAGCCAGUUUAAAGACCCUAUUAUGAUGUCAUAAUGGCCCAAUGUAAGUCAAUGGGAGAAAUUGUAUUAGUUUUUAUUU